RNAcentral lists this long non-coding RNA (348 nucleotides) under Capsicum annuum. Its description in RNAcentral is "long non-coding RNA (CANN_LNC004263)". The record is from RNAcentral. Lineage: Eukaryota; Viridiplantae; Streptophyta; Magnoliopsida; Solanales; Solanaceae.
UCGAGAAUAAUAAAUUUAUGUAUUUGUUCGUUGCAUUGUAACCUUUGAAGAGUGGAUUCGAGUAUUGCAGGCUUGUAGUUGUGGUUGAUGGUGCGCAUUUGAGUGGAGCAUAUAAAGGUACAUUUAUUUCCGCAAGCACUCUUAAUGGAGCAGGUAAUUUAUAUUUAUUUGUAUGUAUAUUUAUUUUUGUGAUGUAAUUCAGAUCAUAAUUUUUUUAAAAUUAUUUUUUUAGUUUGAGAAAUCAUUUACUUGUAUCUGAUUAAUUAUUUUUUUUUUAUUAUCAAAAUUGUAGGACGCAUUCUGCCGAUUGCGUAUGGUGUUGGUGAUAGUGACAACGGUAAUUCACGG